GCUUAUACAUGCAAGUCGAACGGACCUUCGGGUCAGUGGCGGACGGCUGAGUAACACGUAGGUAACCUGCCCUUUACUGGGGGAUAACAGAGGGAAACCUCUGCUAAUACCGCAUAAGACGUGAGCUGCAAUGCUUACGUUUAAAGAUUCAUCGGUAAGGGAUGGGCCUGCGCCUGAUUAGCUUGUUGGUAGGGUAAAAGCCUACCAAGGCGAUGAUCAGUAGUUGGUCUGAGAGGAUGACCAGCCAGAGUGGGACUGAGACACGGCCCACACUUCUACGGAAGGCAGCAGUAGGGAAUUUUGCGCAAUGGGCGAAAGCCUGACGCAGCAACACCGCGUGUAGGAUGAAGGUUUUCGGAUCGUAAACUACUGUCAGCAGGGAAUAAUUUUGACUGUACCUGCAGAGGAAGCAUCGGCUAACUACGUGCCAGCAGCCGCGGUAAGACGUAGGGUGCAAGCGUUGUCCGGAAUUAUUGGGCGUAAAGAGUUCGUAGGCGGUUAUUUAAGUCUGGUGUUAAAGACGGGAGCUUAACUCCCGCAUGGCACUGGAAACUGGAUGGCUAGAGUGUGGUAGAGGUCUCGGGAAUUCCAGGUGUAGCGGUGAAAUGCGUAGAUAUCUGGAGGAACACCGGUGGCGAAAGCGCGAGACUGGGCCAUAACUGACGCUGAGGAACGAAAGCCAGGGGAGCAAAAGGGGAUUAGAUACCCCUGUAGUCCUGGCCGUAAACGAUGGAUACUAGGUGUUGGGAGGGAUUCGACCCCUUUCAGUGCCGUAGCUAACGCGAUAAAGUAUCCCGCCUGGGGAGUACGCUCCGCAAGAAGUGAAACUCA
This 831-nucleotide ribosomal RNA is filed under the name uncultured Synechococcus sp. RNAcentral describes it as "bacterial SSU rRNA". It matches the Rfam family "Bacterial small subunit ribosomal RNA", at positions 46 to 903 of the family's 1533-position model. The record is from RNAcentral. Lineage: Bacteria; Bacillati; Cyanobacteriota; Cyanophyceae; Synechococcales; Synechococcaceae.